GAUGGGAUCUGAGCUGCUGCGUUUCUAACAAAUGCACAUUUCUAAAAACACUUUAAGGACCGCUGCUUUAUUUGAUUCUCCGUUCCAAAGAAGAAGGUAGACCAGGUGGAAGACGAGACCCUGAGCGAGUUCCGCAGGGGCAGAGCCAGGGAGCCUCGCUACGCAGCACGAACAGCUCCGAGAGGCACAAAACGCGGCAGGAAGCGAAAGAGGUAACGCCGGUGCCCGGGCUGCGUCCGCACGAACCGAAGUACUUACCCGCCGCGCCCCGGGCCCCGCACCCGCCGCGACGGAGCCAUCCGAGUCCAAGGCUCAGCGGGUAAAUGGAGCCAGAAAAA
Long non-coding RNA from Leopardus geoffroyi (Geoffroy's cat), 338 nucleotides. RefSeq lists it as uncharacterized. The transcript is spliced from 2 exons. NCBI's taxonomy places the organism in Eukaryota, Metazoa, Chordata, Mammalia, Carnivora, Felidae. The record is from RefSeq and is a predicted model, not a curated record.